RNAcentral lists this ribosomal RNA (1124 nucleotides) under Pediococcus pentosaceus. RNAcentral describes it as "bacterial SSU rRNA". It matches the Rfam family "Bacterial small subunit ribosomal RNA", at positions 8 to 1086 of the family's 1533-position model. Lineage: Bacteria; Bacillati; Bacillota; Bacilli; Lactobacillales; Lactobacillaceae. The record is from RNAcentral.
AGAGUUUGAUCUUGGCUCAGGAUGAACGCUGGCGGCGUGCCUAAUACAUGCAAGUCGAACGAACUUCCGUUAAUUGAUUAUGACGUACUUGUACUGAUUGAGAUUUUAACACGAAGUGAGUGGCGAACGGGUGAGUAACACGUGGGUAACCUGCCCAGAAGUAGGGGAUAACACCUGGAAACAGAUGCUAAUACCGUAUAACAGAGAAAACCGCAUGGUUUUCUUUUAAAAGAUGGCUCUGCUAUCACUUCUGGAUGGACCCGCGGCGUAUUAGCUAGUUGGUGAGGUAAAGGCUCACCAAGGCAGUGAUACGUAGCCGACCUGAGAGGGUAAUCGGCCACAUUGGGACUGAGACACGGCCCAGACUCCUACGGGAGGCAGCAGUAGGGAAUCUUCCACAAUGGACGCAAGUCUGAUGGAGCAACGCCGCGUGAGUGAAGAAGGGUUUCGGCUCGUAAAGCUCUGUUGUUAAAGAAGAACGUGGGUAAGAGUAACUGUUUACCCAGUGACGGUAUUUAACCAGAAAGCCACGGCUAACUACGUGCCAGCAGCCGCGGUAAUACGUAGGUGGCAAGCGUUAUCCGGAUUUAUUGGGCGUAAAGCGAGCGCAGGCGGUCUUUUAAGUCUAAUGUGAAAGCCUUCGGCUCAACCGAAGAAGUGCAUUGGAAACUGGGAGACUUGAGUGCAGAAGAGGACAGUGGAACUCCAUGUGUAGCGGUGAAAUGCGUAGAUAUAUGGAAGAACACCAGUGGCGAAGGCGGCUGUCUGGUCUGCAACUGACGCUGAGGCUCGAAAGCAUGGGUAGCGAACAGGAUUAGAUACCCUGGUAGUCCAUGCCGUAAACGAUGAUUACUAAGUGUUGGAGGGUUUCCGCCCUUCAGUGCUGCAGCUAACGCAUUAAGUAAUCCGCCUGGGGAGUACGACCGCAAGGUUGAAACUCAAAAGAAUUGACGGGGGCCCGCACAAGCGGUGGAGCAUGUGGUUUAAUUCGAAGCUACGCGAAGAACCUUACCAGGUCUUGACAUCUUCUGACAGUCUAAGAGAUUAGAGGUUCCCUUCGGGGACAGAAUGACAGGUGGUGCAUGGUUGUCGUCAGCUCGUGUCGUGAGAUGUUGGGUUAAGUC